UAGGAAUAUUGGACAAUGGGCGCAAGCCUGAUCCAGCCAUGCCGCGUGAGUGACGAAGGCCUUCGGGUUGUAAAACUCUUUAGCCGACGAUUAUAAUGACUGUAGUCGGAGAAUAAGCCCCGGCUAACUUCGUGCCAGCAGUCGCGGUAAUACGAAGGGGGCGAGCGUUAUUCGGAAUCACUGGGCGUAAAGCGUGCGUAGGCUGCUUUGCAAGUUGGGAGUGAAAGCCCGAGGCUCAACCUCGGAAUUGCUCUCAAAACUGCAAGGCUCGAAUCUCGGAGAGGAUAGCGGAAUUGUCAGUGUAGCAGUGAAAUGCGUAGAUAUUGACAGGAACACCAGUGGCGUAAGCGGCUAUCUGGACGAGUAUUGACGCUGAGGCACGAAAGCGUGGGGAUCAAAC
RNAcentral lists this ribosomal RNA (400 nucleotides) under uncultured bacterium. Its description in RNAcentral is "bacterial SSU rRNA". It matches the Rfam family "Bacterial small subunit ribosomal RNA", at positions 356 to 773 of the family's 1533-position model. The record is from RNAcentral.